Molecule: small nucleolar RNA, 80 nt
Organism: Propithecus coquereli (Coquerel's sifaka)
Lineage: Eukaryota; Metazoa; Chordata; Mammalia; Primates; Indriidae
Source: Ensembl
UGAGACAGCCUCUGAUGAAGCCUAUGUUGGGAGGCACAUCUGAGAGUGUUGAUGAAUGCCAACCACUUUGAUGGAAAUAA